AGUUGGUGGAGUGAUUUGUCUGGUUAAUUCCGUUAACGAACGAGACCUUAGCCUGCUAAAUAGUUGUGUUAACCUCUCCAAUCAAAACUUGAUUGAUCGGUGUUGGGACCCCCUACCCUUCGGGGCAGCGUGGGUACCCCCUUUCUUUCAGGUGGUUGGGUUGACAGAUAUACUUCUUAGAGGGACUGCCAGUGUUCAACUGGAGGAGGCUUGAGGCAAUAACAGGU
RNAcentral lists this ribosomal RNA (227 nucleotides) under uncultured eukaryote. RNAcentral describes it as "partial small subunit ribosomal RNA". It matches the Rfam family "Eukaryotic small subunit ribosomal RNA", at positions 1296 to 1461 of the family's 1831-position model. The record is from RNAcentral.